RNAcentral lists this ribosomal RNA (501 nucleotides) under uncultured bacterium. Its description in RNAcentral is "partial 16S ribosomal RNA". It matches the Rfam family "Bacterial small subunit ribosomal RNA", at positions 30 to 523 of the family's 1533-position model. The record is from RNAcentral.
AUUGAACGCUGGCGGCAGGCUUAACACAUGCAAGUCGAGCGGAGCGAGGGUGCUUGCACCUUAGCUUAGCGGCGGACGGGUGAGUAAUGCUUAGGAAUCUGCCUAUUAGUGGGGGACAACAUUCCGAAAGGAAUGCUAAUACCGCAUACGCCCUACGGGGGAAAGCAGGGGAUCUUCGGACCUUGCGCUAAUAGAUGAGCCUAAGUCGGAUUAGCUAGUUGGUGGGGUAAAGGCCUACCAAGGCGACGAUCUGUAGCGGGUCUGAGAGGAUGAUCCGCCCACCUGGGACUGAGACACGGCCCAGACUCCUACGGGAGGCAGCAGUGGGGAAUAUUGGACAAUGGGCGGAAGCCUGAUCCAGCCAUGCCGCGUGUGUGAAGAAGGCCUUUUGGUUGUAAAGCACUUUAAGCGAGGAGGAGGCUACUUAGAUUAAUACUCUGGGAUAGUGGACGUUACUCGCAGAAUAAGCACCGGCUAACUCUGUGCCAGCAGCCGCCGUAA